AUCCAACUGACGAGUCCCGAAUAGGACUAAAUGCACUUUCUGUAU
Schistosoma mansoni is the source of this 45-nucleotide non-coding RNA. The record is from Rfam. Lineage: Eukaryota; Metazoa; Platyhelminthes; Trematoda; Strigeidida; Schistosomatidae.